UUAAGCGACUAAGCGUACACGGUGGAUGCCCGCAGUCAGAGGCGAUGAAGGACGUGCUAAUCUGCGAUAAGCGUCGGUAAGGUGAUAUGAACCGUUAUAACCGGCGAUUUCCGAAUGGGGAAACCCAGUGUGAUUCGUCACACUAUCAUUAACUGAAUCCAUAGGUUAAUGAGGCGAACCGGGGAACUGAAACAUCUAAGUACCCCGAGGAAAAGAAAUCAACCGAGAUUCCCCAGUAGCGGCGAGCGAACGGGAGCAGCCCAGAGCCUGAAUCAGUGUGUGUUAGUGGAAGCGUCUGGAAAGGCGCGCGAUACAGGGUGACAGCCCCGUACACACAUGCUGUGAGCUCGAUGAGUAGGGCGGGACACGUGGUAUCCUGUCUGAAUAUGGGGACCAUCCUCCAAGGCUAAAUACUCUGACUGACCGAUAGUGAACCAGUACCGUGAGGGAAAGGCGAAAAGAACCCGGCGAGGGAGUGAAAAGAACCUGAAACCGUGUACGUACAAGCAGUGGGAGCACAGAGCAAUCUGUGUGACUGCGUACCUUUGUAUAAUGGGUCAGCGACUUAUAUUCUGUAGCAAGGUUAACCGAAUAGGGAGCCGAAGGAAACCGAGUCUUAACUGGGCGUUAAGUUGCAGGUAUAGACCCGAAACCCGGUGAUCAGCCAUGGGCAGGUUGAAGGUUGGGUAACACUAACUGGAGGACCGAACCGACUAAUGUUGAAAAUUAGCGGAUGACUUGUGGCUGGGGUGAAAGGCCAAUCAAACCGGGAGAUAGCUGGUUCUCCCGAAAGCUAUUUAGGUAGCGCCUCGUGAAUUCAUCUCCGGGGUAGAGCACUGUUUCGGCAAGGGGUCAUCCGACUUACCAACCCGAUGCAAACUGCGAAUACCGGAGAAUGUUAUCACGGGAGACACACGGCGGGUGCUAACGUCCGUCGUGAAGAGGGAAACAACCCAGACCGCCAGCUAAGGUCCCAAAGUCAUGGUUAAGUGGAAACGAUGUGGAAGGCCCAGACAGCGGGAUGUUGGCUUAGAAGCAGCCAUCAUUUAAAGAAAGCGUAAUAGCUCACUGGUCGAGUCGGCCUGCGCGGAAGAUGUAACGGGCUAAACCAUGCACCGAAGCUGCGGCAGCGACGCUGAUGCGUUGUUGGGUAGGGGAGCGUUCUGUAAGCCUGCGAAGGUGUGCUGUGAGGCAUGCUGGAGGUAUCAGAAGUGCGAAUGCUGACAUAAGUAACGAUAAAGCGGGUGAAAAGCCCGCUCGCCGGAAGACCAAGGGUUCCUGUCCAACGUUAAUCGGGGCAGGGUGAGUCGACCCCUAAGGCGAGGCCGAAAGGCGUAGUCGAUGGGAAACAGGUUAAUAUUCCUGUACUUGGUGUUACUGCGAAGGGGGGACGGAGAAGGCUAUGUUGGCCGGGCGACGGUUGUCCCGGUUUAAGCGUGUAGGCUGGUUUUCCAGGCAAAUCCGGAAAAUCAAGGCUGAGGCGUGAUGACGAGGCACUACGGUGCUGAAGCAACAAAUGCCCUGCUUCCAGGAAAAGCCUCUAAGCAUCAGGUAACAUCAAAUCGUACCCCAAACCGACACAGGUGGUCAGGUAGAGAAUACCAAGGCGCUUGAGAGAACUCGGGUGAAGGAACUAGGCAAAAUGGUGCCGUAACUUCGGGAGAAGGCACGCUGAUAUGUAGGUGAAGUCCCUCGCGGAUGGAGCUGAAAUCAGUCGAAGAUACCAGCUGGCUGCAACUGUUUAUUAAAAACACAGCACUGUGCAAACACGAAAGUGGACGUAUACGGUGUGACGCCUGCCCGGUGCCGGAAGGUUAAUUGAUGGGGUUAGCGCAAGCGAAGCUCUUGAUCGAAGCCCCGGUAAACGGCGGCCGUAACUAUAACGGUCCUAAGGUAGCGAAAUUCCUUGUCGGGUAAGUUCCGACCUGCACGAAUGGCGUAAUGAUGGCCAGGCUGUCUCCACCCGAGACUCAGUGAAAUUGAACUCGCUGUGAAGAUGCAGUGUACCCGCGGCAAGACGGAAAGACCCCGUGAACCUUUACUAUAGCUUGACACUGAACAUUGAGCCUUGAUGUGUAGGAUAGGUGGGAGGCUUUGAAGUGUGGACGCCAGUCUGCAUGGAGCCGACCUUGAAAUACCACCCUUUAAUGUUUGAUGUUCUAACGUGGACCCGUAAUCCGGGUUGCGGACAGUGUCUGGUGGGUAGUUUGACUGGGGCGGUCUCCUCCUAAAGAGUAACGGAGGAGCACGAAGGUUGGCUAAUCCUGGUCGGACAUCAGGAGGUUAGUGCAAUGGCAUAAGCCAGCUUGACUGCGAGCGUGACGGCGCGAGCAGGUGCGAAAGCAGGUCAUAGUGAUCCGGUGGUUCUGAAUGGAAGGGCCAUCGCUCAACGGAUAAAAGGUACUCCGGGGAUAACAGGCUGAUACCGCCCAAGAGUUCAUAUCGACGGCGGUGUUUGGCACCUCGAUGUCGGCUCAUCACAUCCUGGGGCUGAAGUAGGUCCCAAGGGUAUGGCUGUUCGCCAUUUAAAGUGGUACGCGAGCUGGGUUUAGAACGUCGUGAGACAGUUCGGUCCCUAUCUGCCGUGGGCGCUGGAGAAUUGAGGGGGGCUGCUCCUAGUACGAGAGGACCGGAGUGGACGCAUCACUGGUGUUCGGGUUGUCAUGCCAAUGGCACUGCCCGGUAGCUAAAUGCGGAAGAGAUAAGUGCUGAAAGCAUCUAAGCACGAAACUUGCCCCGAGAUGAGUUCUCCCUGACUCCUUGAGAGUCCUGAAGGAACGUUGAAGACGACGACGUUGAUAGGCCGGGUGUGUAAGCGCAGCGAUGCGUUGAGCUAACCGGUACUAAUGAACCGUGAGGCUUAACCU
Molecule: ribosomal RNA, 2867 nt
Filed under: Escherichia coli
Lineage: Bacteria; Pseudomonadati; Pseudomonadota; Gammaproteobacteria; Enterobacterales; Enterobacteriaceae
Description: bacterial LSU rRNA
Rfam family: Bacterial large subunit ribosomal RNA
Source: RNAcentral